Molecule: ribosomal RNA, 573 nt
Filed under: uncultured prokaryote
Description: bacterial SSU rRNA
Rfam family: Bacterial small subunit ribosomal RNA
Source: RNAcentral
CCUACGGGAGGCAGCAGUGAGGAAUAUUGGUCAAUGGGCGCAAGCCUGAACCAGCCAAGUAGCGUGCAGGAUGACGGCCCUCCGGGUUGUAAACUGCUUUUAGUUGGGAAUAAAUGGCGGGACGCGUCCCGCUUUGCAUGUACCAUCAGAAAAAGGACCGGCUAAUUCCGUGCCAGCAGCCGCGGUAAUACGGAAGGUCCGGGCGUUAUCCGGAUUUAUUGGGUUUAAAGGGAGCGCAGGCGGGCUUUUAAGUCAGUUGUGAAAUACGGCGGCUCAACCGUCGGACUGCAGUUGAUACUGGAAGCCUUGAGUUCACACAGGGAUGCCGGAAUUCAUGGUGUAGCGGUGAAAUGCUCAGAUAUCAUGAAGAACCCCGAUCGCGAAGGCAGGCAUCCGGGGUGUUACUGACGCUGAGGCUCGAAAGUGCGGGUAUCAAACAGGAUUAGAUACCCUGGUAGUCCGCACAGUAAACGAUGGACACUCGCAGUCGGCGAUAUACAGUCGGCUGCCAAGCGAAAGCGUUAAGUGUCCCACCUGGGGAGUACGCCGGCAACGGUGAAACUCAAAGGAAGU